AUACUAACCGUUGUAUUAGAUAUACUAAUCUGUUGUAUUAGAUGAGCUAAUACAACGGAUUAUUCUUCUAACACAUCGGAUAGUGUUCCCGAUUUUUGUUUUUUUUUUUUUUUCUAUUUUUCAAUUGGAGCUAAUCCAACGGAUCAGCCCUAAAAAAUAAAUAAAGAAAAAAAGAUUAAGACCUAAUACAACGGAUGAGUAAAAAAAAAAAAAAAAAAAAAACCGGGAAAUGCUGAAAUAUUAGAGCCAAAAAUGAAAUUGAAACCCCAUUUCCCAAACUUCUCAGCUCAGUCUUCCUUCGUUCUCCUCCCUCAACUCGCCGCUGCUCCUUCCUUCAUUCUCCUCCCUCGCCGCCGCUGCGUCGUCUCCUACCUCGCCGUUUUGUUCUACUGUGCUCGAUCUCUAUCUAAGCCGUUUCAGAUUCUGAGGUGGUGGUGCUGCUAGUGCUUGGGGGAUCCUUUGGGGCUAAUUCUAUGAACAUUGCUCUAUUUAAUAUAUACUUUCAAAUAUUGGAGCAGCGGCCGAAUUUGCAUAUUAUUUGGGAGACUGGUGUGGAGUCAUUUGAUGAGACGGAGAGUCUUGUUCGAAACUAUCCCCGAUUAGUUUUAGCACCAUCUACCACAAAUUGAGGAAACAAAAUUGAUGAUUAUUUCAAUAAUCUAUCUUAAUUUUUUCGACGGCCUAAUUCAGAAUUUAGGGGAUUUCAUGACAAGAGUUAGCUCUCUAGAUAUCACAUGGAUGGUCCCAUCUAAUAUCAGCUUAGGAUUAACAAGUUGUCCACUGAGGACUGGGAGCAUAAAUCUGUGCUUGAUGACGAUGAGCUACCCCGGGAUGAAUGAAGUACGGACUAAUGUUGAUUUUAUGUAUCUAUUGCAAGUACUAAUUUUAUUUCAAACGAUUGUUAAUUAAUUAGUGAACUUUCAUUUAUUAUUAGUUAGUAUCGGCACUUCGUUUAUUUUGUAAUGCAACGAAUAUAUUAUAAGCACUUUGUUUAUUUUUAAUUACUAAUAUAAUUU
Chenopodium quinoa (quinoa) is the source of this 1016-nucleotide long non-coding RNA. RefSeq lists it as uncharacterized. Lineage: Eukaryota; Viridiplantae; Streptophyta; Magnoliopsida; Caryophyllales; Amaranthaceae. The record is from RefSeq and is a predicted model, not a curated record. The transcript is spliced from 6 exons.